GACGAACGCUGGCGGCGGGCUUAACACAUGCAAGUCGAACGGAAAGGCCCUGCUUUUGUGGGGUGCUCGAGUGGCGAACGGGUGAGUAACACGUGAGUAACCUGCCCUUGACUUUGGGAUAACUUCAGGAAACUGGGGCUAAUACCGGAUAGGAGCUCCUGCUGCAUGGUGGGGGUUGGAAAGUUUCGGCGGUUGGGGAUGGACUGGCGGCUGAUCAGCUAGUUGGUGGGGUAGUGGCUUACCAAGGCGUUGACGGGUAGCCGGCCGGAGAGGGUGACCGGCCACACGGGAACGGAGACACGGGCCAGACGCCGACGGGAGGCAGCAGUGGGGAAUAUUGGACAAUGGGCGCAAGCCGGAUCCAGCCAUACCGCGUGGGUGAAGAAGGCCUUCGGGUGGGAAAGACGGUUUGUUGGGAAAGAAAAGCAGCAGGUUAAUACCCCGCUGUUCUGACGGUACCCAAAGAAUAAGCACCGGCUAACUUCGUG
RNAcentral lists this ribosomal RNA (488 nucleotides) under uncultured bacterium. RNAcentral's name for it is "partial 16S ribosomal RNA". It matches the Rfam family "Bacterial small subunit ribosomal RNA", at positions 28 to 507 of the family's 1533-position model. The record is from RNAcentral.